This is a small nuclear RNA of Mesocricetus auratus (golden hamster), 103 nucleotides long. Lineage: Eukaryota; Metazoa; Chordata; Mammalia; Rodentia; Cricetidae. The record is from Ensembl.
CCGCUUUGACAACACGCAUACUAAAAUUGGAAAGAUACGAAGAUGAUUAGCUUGGCCCCUGUGUAAAAAUGAGAUGCAAAUUAAUGAAUCAUUUCAUAGUUUU